CCUACGGGGGACAGCAGUGGGGAAUAUUGCACAAUGGGGGAAACCCUGAUGCAGCGACGCCGCGUGAGUGAAGAAGUAUUUCGGUAUGUAAAGCUCUAUCAGCAGGGAAGAAAUAGCGACCUUUGGGUCGCCAGACGGUACCUGAUAAAGAAGCACCGGCUAACUACGUGCCAGCAGCCGCGGUAAUACGUAGGGGGCAAGCGGUAUCCGGAUUUACUGGGUGUAAAGGGAGCGUAGACGGCAGCGCAAGUCUGAAGUGAAAUGCCGGGGCUUAACCCCGGAACUGCUUUGGAAACUGUGCAGCUAGAGUGCAGGAGAGGUCAGUGGAAUUCCUAGUGUAGCGGUGAAAUGCGUAGAUAUUAGGAGGAACACCAGUGGCGAAGGCGGCUUACUGGACUGUACCUGACGUUGAGGCUCGACAGCGUGGGGAGCAAACAGGAUUAGAUACCCUGGUAGUC
Molecule: ribosomal RNA, 458 nt
Filed under: uncultured bacterium
Lineage: Bacteria
Description: partial 16S ribosomal RNA
Rfam family: Bacterial small subunit ribosomal RNA
Source: RNAcentral